GACGAACGCUGGCGGCGUGCUUAACACAUGCAAGUCGAACGGGCCCGCCCCUGUUUUUGGGGGUGGGUUGAGUGGCGAACGGGUGAGUAUCACGUGAGUAACCUGCCCCCUGCUCCUGGAUAACUGCUUGAAAGGGCGGCUAAUACGGGGUGUGCCGGCUGGUCCGCAUGGGCCUGGUCGGGAUAGUUUCAUCUUCGGGUGUUUCGGUGGGGGAUGGGCUCGCGGCCUAUCAGCUUGUUGGUGGGGUGAUGGCCCACCAAGGCGGUGACGGGUAGCCGGCCUGAGAGGGUGGGCGGCCACACUGGGACUGAGACACGGCCCAGACGCCUGCGGGAGGCAGCAGUGGGGGGUAUUGCACAAUGGGCGGAAGCCUGAUGCAGCGACGGCGAGUGAGGGAUGGAGGCCUUCGGGUGGUGAACCUCUUUCUCCGGUGGUGAAGGCCCUGUCCGUUGCGGCGGGGUUGACGGUAGCCGGGUAUGAAGCGCCGGCUAACUACGUG
This 499-nucleotide ribosomal RNA is filed under the name uncultured bacterium. RNAcentral describes it as "partial 16S ribosomal RNA". It matches the Rfam family "Bacterial small subunit ribosomal RNA", at positions 28 to 507 of the family's 1533-position model. The record is from RNAcentral.